Long non-coding RNA from Scomber scombrus (Atlantic mackerel), 1963 nucleotides. RefSeq lists it as uncharacterized. The record is from RefSeq and is a predicted model, not a curated record. NCBI's taxonomy places the organism in Eukaryota, Metazoa, Chordata, Actinopteri, Scombriformes, Scombridae. The transcript has 2 exons.
CCAUAUGCUUUAAAAAAAACACACACACAACACAUCAUUUUGGCAUUGAUGUAAUUAUGAUAUUAAACUGUCACAUUACACUGAAGUUAGGACAAACCUUUUUUUUUUUUUUUUGUAGCUUUCUAGAAAAUGUGUAGGAAUGAUGGACCUGCAUUUUAAAACACUCGCAUCACCAGUAAGAAGAGUGUCAUGUUAAUCUCAAGUCAUUGACUGUAAGGAAGCACACAGGUGUUUGAUGUUACCACAUGUUAUGUUUUAAAGGCUGAAUUUGGAUUUAUCACCUGUGCUCCAUCACACACUACUGUAUAUGAUGUACUGAUUAGCCGGUGUUACAGCUAGUUUCCAUCCACUGCAAACAUUCAGCGCCAAUACACAUAGCUGUGUGUUCUAUGUGACUCUCGAUGGUUUUCAUAAUCAAUCAAAAUCGAUGCAGCAGAACCAGAGAUAUCUUUUUUUUUUUAUUAUUCCAUGUGUUACCCACAUAAACCUAAAAUUGUGUCCAGAGAUCCUAACCCCUACAUCUUUCUAACUCCACGCUAACAAAUUUGUGACUCACGUGACAUCACUUGAGGCAGUUCAUCAGACCUCACACAGCGCCCCCUGGAGACACAAACAGGCUAUAAACAAAUUUUUCCCCCCCCCAUAUUCACCACCUGGAAACAUACUUUUUCUUUAACAAAGUGUUUCAGUUGCCUAAUCAUAACCCCUCCUGUUGUCUUCAUAUUCUGUACCCUUAAAAAAAACAAUCAAUUGUCAACCUGAAAAUCAAUUUAGCAUAAACAACCUUCCAUUUAACUUGGAAUUAGUGUUUUUUCUUCUACACAGUACAGAGAGAUUAUUAUUCAGUGUAGGCGACACCUCUAGUUUUUACUACUAAACACCAUGUUUGCUGUCAUUGAUGUGUAAUGUUAUGAUCGCUUUAGAAACGUAGUAACUUUCUGAAACUCUUAUUUUAGGAAACCUGAGCACCCUUGCUGUGUCUCAAACCACAUACUUCUGUAUAGUACUUUAGCAGUGUGCAAAUUUUGACAGGUUAGUGUUGUCUCAAAUCAAACAGAGCCAUCGCACACUUAUCGAAAAAGACAAUUAGCUAGCGUUGCUAAUUUUAUUUUGCUGUACCAAACCAUUACAGAAUGCCUAAUUAACCCAAUAAACCUACUUAUGGCUUAUGUGACAACAGUAUAUUGGUGCUUAGUGCAAAAAACACAUGUAUAAUUGACAUUAUUAUAAAGCAGCGAUGUUCACCGUAGUUACAACGUCCUCAUUCACCAUUUCUUGUUUGAAAAGUGGUCCCCAGCUUUUUCCGCUAUGUAGCCAAGACGGCGUCCGUUGAGGGCGAGAAGUGUCCGUAGUUACACACUACAACUUUUUGACCGUUUUGAGUGCACCAUAGUGCACUGCAUUUUAACAUCCUUUCAGUGUGAACACACUUAUGCACUCAAAAUAUUAAGUGUAUGUACAGAAGUACACGAUUUGAGACACAGCAGCAGUCUUUUUUAUUUUCUUUCAUUAAUACGUUUUCCUGCACGAGCACUACAGACAUAUUUCUCACAUUGUGUUUGAUUUCACAGUCCCUCUUUGGGGUCAGAAUUGGUUUUUCCUAUCACCCACCAUGUCUGCAGUCUCAGGUGGAUUCAGUUCCCCCUCACUUUGUGUUGCUCACCGUUUAGCAAAAGGAGAAAUAUUUGUACCUGAAUCCACUGCAAGAGAUGAUUAUAUUAUUUUGUUUUUUUUUGUUUCUAAUUUUGUGUGAAACAAAGUCGGCCGUGGUCAAGUUUUGUUUUUUAAAACACAUACAUUCUCUUUUUCUUACUCUGUUUCUUUAAAGCUGUUAUAACUUAUGUAUUAAUAAUUCUUUUCAUCUGUAAAAGAUUUAUUUAAAUGUCAAAAGAGACUAAAAGACAGUCUUCACAUGUAAAAGGACAAACGACCAGUAAUAGCCAUGAACUUGCAUUCUGGGGGG